CCCUUAGAUGUUCUGGGCUGCACGCGCGCUACACUGAAGCGUUCAACGAGUAUUCACCUUGCCCGGGAGGGUUGGGUAAUCUUUUGAAAACGCAUCGUGAUGGGGAUAGAUUAUUGCAAUUAUUAAUCUUCAACGAGGAAUUCCUAGUAAGCGCGAGUCAUCAGCUCGUGCUGAUUACGUCCCUGCCCUUUGUACACACCGCCCGUCGCUCCUACCGAUUGAGUGCUCAGGUGAAUAAUUCGGACUGCAGCAAUGUUUGGAUCCCGAACGUUGCAGCGGAAAGUUUAGUGAACCUUAUCACUUAGAGGAAGGAGAANUCGUAACA
RNAcentral lists this ribosomal RNA (325 nucleotides) under uncultured eukaryote. RNAcentral describes it as "partial 18S ribosomal RNA". It matches the Rfam family "Eukaryotic small subunit ribosomal RNA", at positions 1470 to 1796 of the family's 1831-position model. The record is from RNAcentral.